UCCAACAGAGGGCAGAGACCAACAUGCUGCAUUUCAUAUUAAUGCUCGGCGCUUUGCUGCUGGUCACCAGCAACUUCUGCCAUGCUUGCGGUCGGUUAUGUUUCCAGCUGAAUGAAAACUGUGUGUCUGGUACAUGCUGUCCCGGGCUUGCCUGCAUUCCUCCUGCACAAGGCGGCUUGAUCGGACAGUGUCAGAACUCCAAUGCAAGACUGUCGCAGAUUGGUGAUGAAACAUUGAAAUAACCUUACGAAUAAUAAUAGUAAUUUACAUAUAUUUCUGCAUAUCUCGAAUUGUAAACAUCAUAAAAAUCUCUAUCUAAAAGAGUCUUGAUCAUCGCAACUGACGCUGAAUUAGUGUAUAUAUAUAUAUAUAUAUACACACACACACACACACACACACACACACACACAGACAGAGUAGUUCACAGUAUAAGUUUGAGGCUGCGUUCACUUUUCUUAACUUUUCACUAUCAGCGACAUAUGAUAAAGCAUGUUCCUGCACUUAUUAAGAUCGUUUUUUAUUUUUCACAGACAGUAAAGGUAAAAUAUCCUCUUGUGUCUAAUGGAUGGAAAUUGUUAAAACCUACAUCUACUGCAAUGUUUAAAAUUGUUCUUUUGGCCUUUGUCCAUCGUAUAACUUAUAAAUCCAUAAAAUAAAGUUUCGAAAGCUGGA
This is a long non-coding RNA of Zootermopsis nevadensis, 672 nucleotides long. RefSeq lists it as uncharacterized. NCBI's taxonomy places the organism in Eukaryota, Metazoa, Arthropoda, Insecta, Blattodea, Termopsidae. The record is from RefSeq and is a predicted model, not a curated record.